GAUGAACGCUGGCGGCGUGCUUAACACAUGCAAGUCGAACGAAGCUGCUUAAAGGAAGUCUUCGGAUGGAAUUUAAGUAGACUUAGUGGCGGACGGGUGAGUAACGCGUGGAUAACCUGCCUUAUACAGGGGGAUAACGGAGAGAAAUUUCCGCUAAGACCGCAUAAGACCACAGCACCGCAUGGUGCAGGGGUAAAAUAUUUAUAGGUAUAAGAUGGAUCCGCGUCCGAUUAGCUAGUUGGUGAGGUAAAGGUCCACCAAGGCGACGAUCGGUAGCCGGCCUGAGAGGGUGAACGGCCACAUUGGGACUGAGACACGGCCCAA
This 324-nucleotide ribosomal RNA is filed under the name uncultured bacterium. RNAcentral's name for it is "bacterial SSU rRNA". It matches the Rfam family "Bacterial small subunit ribosomal RNA", at positions 28 to 334 of the family's 1533-position model. The record is from RNAcentral.